AGCGAACGCUGGCGGCAGGCCUAACACAUGCAAGUCGAACGGACCCUUCGGGGUUAGUGGCGGACGGGUGAGUAACACGUGGGAACGUGCCUUUAGGUUCGGAAUAGCUCCUGGAAACGGGUGGUAAUGCCGAAUGUGCCCUUCGGGGGAAAGAUUUAUCGCCUUUAGAGCGGCCCGCGUCUGAUUAGCUAGUUGGUAAGGUAAAAGCUUACCAAGGCGACGAUCAGUAGCUGGUCUGAGAGGAUGACCAGCCACAUUGGGACUGAGACACGGCCCAAACUCCUACGGGAGGCAGCAGUGGGGAAUCUUGCGCAAUGGGCGAAAGCCUGACGCAGCCAUGCCGCGUGAAUGAUGAAGGUCUUAGGAUUGUAAAAUUCUUUCACCGGGGACGAUAAUGACGGUACCCGGAGAAGAAGCCCCGGCUAACUUCGUG
RNAcentral lists this ribosomal RNA (433 nucleotides) under uncultured bacterium. Its description in RNAcentral is "bacterial SSU rRNA". It matches the Rfam family "Bacterial small subunit ribosomal RNA", at positions 29 to 507 of the family's 1533-position model. The record is from RNAcentral.